Molecule: ribosomal RNA, 245 nt
Filed under: uncultured Planctomycetaceae bacterium
Lineage: Bacteria; Pseudomonadati; Planctomycetota; Planctomycetia; Planctomycetales; Planctomycetaceae
Description: partial 16S ribosomal RNA
Rfam family: Bacterial small subunit ribosomal RNA
Source: RNAcentral
GACGAACCGUACAAACGUUAUUCGGAAUCACUGGGCUUAAAGGGUGCGUAGGCGGCUUUGCAAGUCGGGUGUGAAAGCCCUCGGCUCAACCGAGGAAUUGCGCCCGAAACUGCCGAGCUUGAGGGACACAGAGGUAAGCGGAACUUAGGGUGGAGCGGUGAAAUGCGUUGACAUCCUAAGGAACACCAGGAGCGAAAGCGGCUUACUGGGUGUCUUCUGACGCUGAGGCACGAAAGCCAGGGGAG